RNAcentral lists this ribosomal RNA (274 nucleotides) under uncultured bacterium. Its description in RNAcentral is "partial 16S ribosomal RNA". It matches the Rfam family "Archaeal small subunit ribosomal RNA", at positions 473 to 747 of the family's 1478-position model. The record is from RNAcentral.
AAACCAGCACCUCAAGUGGUCAGGAUGAUUAUUGGGCCUAAAGCAUCCGUAGCCGGCUCUGUAAGUUUUCGGUUAAAUCUGUACGCUUAACGUAUAGGCUGCCGGGAAUACUGCAGAGCUAGGGAGUGGGAGAGGUAGACGGUACUCGGGAGGAAGUGGUAAAAUGCUUUGAUCUCUCGAUGACCACCUGUGGCGAAGGCGGUCUACCAGAACACGUCCGACGGUGAGGGAUGAAAGCUGGGGGAGCAAACCGGAUUAGAUACCCUAGUAGUCC